This is a long non-coding RNA of Monopterus albus (swamp eel), 461 nucleotides long. RefSeq lists it as uncharacterized. The transcript is spliced from 3 exons. Lineage: Eukaryota; Metazoa; Chordata; Actinopteri; Synbranchiformes; Synbranchidae. The record is from RefSeq and is a predicted model, not a curated record.
AUCAAGUAAUAAAAUUACAGUCUCCUAAGGGGAGUAACUGAAACUCUCCCUGGUGCAGUAAGGUGUUGUUUAGUAGGUGCCCAGCGGGUGUCGCUAUGAUAGUUGUAUACAUGCAGUGCUCACCCACAGCUGUAUGAGGGCGCAUCUGUUGUGACGUCAUCACUGUGUGACAGGCGAGUGUCCCGUGGGAAAAAAAGAGAAACAGAGACCGAGAAGGAGAAAAAGAGAAAAACGCAGGGAAAUACAAAGCUCCGUGACGGCAGGGGAGACAACACUGUCUACGAGUUCGGGGUAUUUACUCCAGCCUGAACAGGAAUUCCGGCAUCUUGAAGGCAGUCGGGAAAUAGGACCCACAUUUGUUUUGGAGCUGCAGGUGUUGGUGCGAAAACCAUACACCUGGCCAUACAGUACCACAUCCCAGCCCCAACACUAGUGACCAUUAACAGCUAAAUGCAUGUCCU